This 84-nucleotide transfer RNA is filed under the name Gammaproteobacteria bacterium. RNAcentral describes it as "tRNA-Val". The stretch from base 8 to 81 matches the Rfam family "tRNA". From Rfam's summary of the family: Transfer RNA (tRNA) molecules are approximately 80 nucleotides in length. Their secondary structure includes four short double-helical elements and three loops (D, anti-codon, and T loops). The record is from RNAcentral. Lineage: Bacteria; Pseudomonadati; Pseudomonadota; Gammaproteobacteria.
AGGCACAUAGCACAUAGCUCAGUUGGUUAGAGCACCACCUUGACAUGGUGGGGGUCGUUGGUUCGAGUCCAAUUGUGCCUACCA